AAAUAGUAUGCUUGUGAUUAAUCAAAUAACUAUUUUUUUGUAAUUGAAUUAUAAUUUACAUGUUUUAUCGAAUUAAUAAUGAAUUUAUAUAUGAAUUUAACAAUAUUUCUCAAUUUAUUUCAAACAUAAUCCGAAUAAGUUUAGAUUUUAUGAUUUAUUUUUCAAAAUUUACAAUAUAAUUGCACAUAAUGAUUGUCAAUAUAAAUAUUGUCAUGAGUAUGAAAUAAAAAUCUUAUGAUGUAAU
Molecule: long non-coding RNA, 244 nt
Filed under: Carica papaya (papaya)
Lineage: Eukaryota; Viridiplantae; Streptophyta; Magnoliopsida; Brassicales; Caricaceae
Description: long non-coding RNA (CPAP_LNC011277)
Source: RNAcentral